GCUUGUCUCAAAGAUUAAGCCAUGCAUGUGUAAGUAUAAACGAUCUAUACUGUGAAACUGCGAAUGGCUCAUUAUAUCAGUUAUAGUUUAUUUGAUAAUACUUUACUACUUGGAUAACCGUAGUAAUUCUAGAGCUAAUACAUGCGUAAAAUCCUGACUUUCUUGGAAGGGAUGUAUAUAUUAGAAUGAAACCAAUCGGCUUCGGCUGUAUUGUGGUGAGUCAUAAUAACUUUGCGAAUCGCAUAGCUUUAAUGCUGGCGAUGGGUCAUUCAAAUUUCUGCCCUAUCAACUUUCGACGGUAGGAUAGAGGCCUACUGUGGUGAUAACGGGUAACGAAGAAUAAGGGUUCGAUUUCGGAGAGGGAGCCUGAGAAACGGCUACCACAUCCAAGGAAGGCAGCAGG
Molecule: ribosomal RNA, 403 nt
Filed under: uncultured marine stramenopile
Lineage: Eukaryota
Description: partial small subunit ribosomal RNA
Rfam family: Eukaryotic small subunit ribosomal RNA
Source: RNAcentral